CAGGCAUUGUGCAUUUUGUAAAUUGACAUGCCGACUUAACGUUAUGGGUUUCAUAAUUUUUAAACUCUCAUAGAACUCAAACCACAUUUCUUUUAGGUUACCUGUAAGCUUAGAAUCCCAACUAAUGCGGGAUUUCCAUAGUUUUUGCAUGAAAACCUUGGCAAUUACUAUGAAUGGUCCGGCUAAACCGAGUGGAUCAUAAAUUACUAAUGAAACUUAUACUUCUCUUUUGUAUUUGGCACUUUACUAGAUAAAUUUGGAGCAGACAAAAUGAAGGAGUCAGAUUUAAUAUUGUAAUUUAUACCUAGUGUUUUUAUGAAUAAGUUAUCUUUUAAGACCUUAUAUAGUCGACCUUUUAUAGUUUCAUUAUAGUCGACUGGACUUUCGAGAACUUUCGACAGCUCGGCUGUGUCAAAAUAAAAAAAUUCAAGAAGCGUGUUAAUCAUUGUAUUUGUACUUAGAGACAGCAACAACCCGACAUCUCGACAAGGAACUACUAAACGAAAUGAGAAGUCAAAUAUAGGGUGCCAUGCAUUAUAAAUGCUCACCUAUAUGUCUUUGAACGAGUCACGUUUCCCUCCUUAACGAGUGACCCAUAGAUCUCCUGUAGGUAACCUAGGUCACCUGGAUGAUAUAACAACAGUGCGUCCCUGUUAGUUAUAUCCUGAGGUAGAUAUCCCAGAUACGGCACUGACUCAGCAUCGAUAUACUCUAAGUUUCCGUCAGCACUAUGACGUAUUACAAACGACACCGUUUUGGCAAGAACUUCGUUAGAUGCUAAAAAUAAAAUUAAAAUGUACUUUCUAUUUAAAUAUUAUGGUGUACGUGGCGAGGUUUGCGUGUUUUUUCGCAACUUAACGUAAUGUUACGAAGCCUUUUAAAAUGUUCAUAAAGUUACAAGCAUAAUUGUUCGUUAACACUUCAGUUCGAAAAAAAAAAAAAAAGCUAUUGAUAGUACUCUAAAAAGUCCUAUGUCUGCCAGUGAAAGUCCCAUCAAGAUCGGUGUAAUGAUUUCGGUAGAUUAGCUCCAUCAAAUUUAUCCUUUAUUUGUCCAUGAAAAAAUAUAAAUCUCUAUAGUACGUGUAAUGCGAAACCGUAACUUUAAAAUCUCUACUUUGACAUAUAUAUAAUUAUUUAUUAUCGACUGAUACUUUCUAUGAUUUAAUAUUCCGAUUGUGUAUUUUAUAAUAUCACUAUUUUACUUGUUAUUAUUUUUAAAUCGAGAGACUGUAAUGUUAUCUUUUUGUUUAUACGUUCUUCGUAGUUUGUAAGCGUUGUACAAAAAAAACUUGAUAUCAAAAUAAACUUUUUAUCAAAAAAA
RNAcentral lists this unclassified non-coding RNA (1321 nucleotides) under Antheraea pernyi (Chinese oak silkmoth). RNAcentral's name for it is "female-specific endogenous period clock protein homolog antisense RNA". The record is from RNAcentral. Lineage: Eukaryota; Metazoa; Arthropoda; Insecta; Lepidoptera; Saturniidae.